This 253-nucleotide ribosomal RNA is filed under the name uncultured bacterium. Its description in RNAcentral is "partial 16S ribosomal RNA". It matches the Rfam family "Bacterial small subunit ribosomal RNA", at positions 524 to 776 of the family's 1533-position model. The record is from RNAcentral.
UACGUAGGGGGCUAGCGUUGUCCGGAUUUAUUGGGCGUAAAGAGCGUGUAGGCGGCCAGGUAGGUCUGCUGUGAAAACUCGAGGCUCAACCUCGAGAUGUCGGCGGAAACCAUCUGGCUAGAGUCCGGAAGAGGAAAGUGGAAUUCCUGGUGCAGCGGUGAAAUGCGCAGAUAUCAGGAAGAACACCCGUGGCGAAGGCGGCUUUCUGGGACGGUACUGACGCUGAGACGCGAAAGCGUGGGGAGCGAACAGG